This 486-nucleotide ribosomal RNA is filed under the name uncultured bacterium. RNAcentral's name for it is "partial 16S ribosomal RNA". It matches the Rfam family "Bacterial small subunit ribosomal RNA", at positions 30 to 507 of the family's 1533-position model. The record is from RNAcentral.
AUUGAACGCUGGCGGCAUGCCUUACACAUGCAAGUCGAACGGCAGCACGGGUGCUUGCACCUGGUGGCGAGUGGCGAACGGGUGAGUAAUACAUCGGAACAUGUCCUGUAGUUGGGGAUAGCCCGGCGAAAGCCGGAUUAAUACCGCAUACGAUCUACGGAUUAAAGCGGGGGACCUUCGGGCCUCGCGCUAUAGGGUUGGCCGAUGGCUGAUUAGAUCGUUGGUGGGGUAAAGGCCUACCAAGGCGACGAGCAGUAGCUGGUCUGAGAGGACGACCAGCGGCACUAGAACUGGGACACGCCCAAGAGGCCUACGAGAGGGAGCAGUGGGGAAUUUUGGACAAUGGGCGAAAGCAUGAUCCAGCAAUGCCGAGUGUGUGAAGAAGGCCUUCGGGUUGUAAAGCACGUUUGUCCGGAAAGAAAUCCUUGGCCCUAAUACGGUCGGGGGAUGACGGUAACGGAUGAAUAAGCACCGGCUAACUACGUG